UGGGGAAUUUUGGACAAUGGGCGCAAGCCUGAUCCAGCCAUGCCGCGUGCAGGAUGAAGGCCUUCGGGUUGUAAACUGCUUUUGUACGGAACGAAACGGCCUUUUCUAAUAAAGAGGGCUAAUGACGGUACCGUAAGAAUAAGCACCGGCUAACUACGUGCCAGCAGCCGCGGUAAUACGUAGGGUGCAAGCGUUAAUCGGAAUUACUGGGCGUAAAGCGUGCGCAGGCGGUUAUGUAAGACAGUUAUGAAAUCCCCGGGCUCAACCUGGGAACUGCAUCUGUGACUGCAUAGCUAGAGUACGGUAGAGGGGGAUGGAAUUCCGCGUGUAGCAGGGAAAUGCGUAGAUAUGCGGAGGAACACCGAUGGCGAAGGCAAUCCCCUGGACCUGUACUGACGCUCAUGCACGAAAGCGUGGGGAGCAAACAGG
This 429-nucleotide ribosomal RNA is filed under the name Acidobacteriota bacterium. RNAcentral describes it as "Acidobacteria bacterium partial 16S ribosomal RNA". It matches the Rfam family "Bacterial small subunit ribosomal RNA", at positions 355 to 776 of the family's 1533-position model. The record is from RNAcentral. Lineage: Bacteria; Pseudomonadati; Acidobacteriota.